UCAACUCUGUUCGUGAUUCUGUGAAAGGAGGACAUUUAAACAAAUUUUUGGAAUGCCUGGAGUACGGAGAAAACCAUGUUAAAAAAGAGGACGUCCUCCAUUUGGAGGACGUCUGGUCACCCUAGACUGAAUAGACAGGGAGCAGGGGUGGCAGCUGGUGGAAAUAGUGGCCUUGAUGGGCAGCAGAGUGCUAAUCUGUGCAAACUAUAGUGACCUUAAUACAAGGCUACUAAUUAGAAUAAGCAGAGAAAGCUGUGGGAAAAUGGACAGCAGGUGACUGAGAAGGGAGUGGUGGGUACAAGCUGCUGCUCGGAUGUGUUGAUUGAAAACCCCUCAGCCCACAGCAUGUGCAGCUCUGGAAGUCAAACAGAUCCGGGGUCCCUCAGCCCCUUCACUCUGCACAAACACCCCCAUAAAUGAGGGGGUGCAUUGGUUAUGUUAUCUUUUAGGCAGGGAAUUCAUUGAAAAGGCUCAGGAGCUGCUCACCAAGAGAUGGAAGAGAUGGGGAUGGCAGGUGUCUUUCAGCCCAUGGGUGGCACUAGCUGUCAUGGUGAGGAGGCAACUGGCUCCUCCAGAAGGACCGUGGCAGACAGAGCUAAUGAUGCACUGGACCGGGAUGCAUCCUAGGAGGCAGGGUCCUGGCUAUGAUUGUAUACCCCCCAGAGAAAGAUCUACCAGUACCGUUCAGCCUUGUACUUUUGCAGGGGACCUGCAGAGGACGUGACACCAGCCACCCUAUCAGAGUCUUAAACGGAGAUCCUGAGCCAUUGCCCAGACCCUGGGGCACCUCCUUGACCCAAAUGACAGAUGUGCUGCCUCCAGACCAGGCUCAGGGACUGUUCAGUAUGCUGUAGAUCCUGAUAGAAACUGUGGAGGGGCCCAGGACAGUAGAGCCGAAAUGGGGGCUGCGUUGUGCUGGAGCAAUCACUUCUGUUUAAUGUAAAUACUUCCAUACUGUGAAAGUGUUUCUUUUGGCUUAAAUAAGGUAGCGACAUAGUUUGCUGUCUAUUGUUAAAUUUGAUGAGGUUCAUUUGUAAAUGUGCUGUCAACUUCCAGUAAAAAGCAGAAUAUGUGG
Molecule: long non-coding RNA, 1075 nt
Organism: Brienomyrus brachyistius
Lineage: Eukaryota; Metazoa; Chordata; Actinopteri; Osteoglossiformes; Mormyridae
Exons: 2
Source: RefSeq, a predicted model, not a curated record